This 499-nucleotide ribosomal RNA is filed under the name uncultured soil bacterium. RNAcentral's name for it is "bacterial SSU rRNA". It matches the Rfam family "Bacterial small subunit ribosomal RNA", at positions 26 to 518 of the family's 1533-position model. The record is from RNAcentral.
AGAUUGAACGCUGGCGGAAUGCUUUACACAUGCAAGUCGAACGGCAGCACGGGGGUAACCCUGGUGGCGAGUGGCGAACGGGUGAGUAAUACAUCGGAACGUGUCCUGUAAUGGGGGAUAACCUGGCGAAAGCCAGGCUAAUACCGCAUACGUCCUACGGGAGAAAGCGGGGGAUCGCAAGACCUCGCGUUAUAGGAGCGGCCGAUGUCGGAUUAGCUAGUUGGUGGGGUAAAGGCCUACCAAGGCGACGAUCCGUAGCUGGUCUGAGAGGACGACCAGCCACACUGGAACUGAGACACGGUCCAGACUCCUACGGGAGGCAGCAGUGGGGAAUUUGGACAAUGGGCGCAAGCCUGAUCCAGCCAUUCCGCGUGAGUGAAGAAGGCCUCGGUUGUAAGACGUCUUCGGUCCGGGAAGAAAGUACGCGAUCAGCGAAUAACUAGUGUGGAUGACGGUACCGGAAGAAGAAGACACCGGCUAACUACGUGCCAGCAGCCGC